UGCCCUUUAAACCACUUUUGGUAUCAAGGAGCUGGUAUCAAGCACACUACACAGUAGCUCAUAACACCUUGCACAGCCACACCCCUACGGGAAACAGCAGUAACAAAAAUUAAGCAAUAAACGAAAGUUCGACUAAGUUAUGCUAAUUAGGGCUGGUCAACUUCGUGCCAGCCACCGCGGUCAUACGAACAGCCCAAAUUAAUAGAACCCGGCGUAAAGAGUGGUUAUGACAUUCACACACUAAAGUUAAAUUUAACCUUAGCUGUAAAAAGCUAAAGGUCUAAAAUUAAAUACCCUACGAAAGUGACUUUAACAAAUCAGAAUCCACGAUAGCUAAGAUACAAACUGGGAUUAGAUACCCCACUAUGCCUAGCCCUAAACCUAGUUAAUUAGUAACAAAAUUACUCGCCAGAGAACUACGAGCAAAAGCUUAAAACUCAAAGGACUUGGCGGUGCUUUAUAUCCACCUAGAGGAGCCUGUUGUAUAAUCGAUAAACCCCGCUAAACCCUACCAUCAUUUGCUAAUCCAGUCUAUAUACCGCCAUCUUCAGCAAACCCUUAAAAGGAACCAAAGUAAGCUUAAUUAUACUUAAUAAAAACGUUAGGUCAAGGUGUAACUUAUAUGAUGGAAACUAAUGGGCUACAUUCUCUUUAAAAGAGUA
Molecule: ribosomal RNA, 662 nt
Filed under: Rhynchocyon udzungwensis (grey-faced sengi)
Lineage: Eukaryota; Metazoa; Chordata; Mammalia; Macroscelidea; Macroscelididae
Description: partial 12S ribosomal RNA
Rfam family: Bacterial small subunit ribosomal RNA
Source: RNAcentral